GAUGAAGAACGUAGCGAAAUGCGAUAAGUAAUGUGAAUCGCAGAAUUCAGUGAAUCAUCGAAUCUUUGAACGCACAUUGCGCCCGUCAGUAUUCUGGCGGCCAUGCCUGUUCGAGCGUCAUUACGCCCCUCAAGUCCCCUGUGGACUUGGUGUUGGGGAUCGGCGAGGCUGGUUUUCCAGCACAGCCGUCCCUUAAAUUAAUUGGCGGUCUCGCCGUGGCCCUCCUCUGCGCAGUAGUAAAACACUCGCAACAGGAGCCCGGCGCGGUCCACUGCCGUAAAACCCCCCAACUUUUUAUAGUUGACCUCGAAUCAGGUAGGACUACCCGCUGAACUUAAGCAUAUCAAUAAGCGGAGGA
This 358-nucleotide unclassified non-coding RNA is filed under the name soil metagenome. RNAcentral's name for it is "partial contains 5.8S ribosomal RNA, internal transcribed spacer 2, and large subunit ribosomal RNA". The stretch from base 1 to 120 matches the Rfam family "5.8S ribosomal RNA", at positions 35 to 154 of the family's 154-position model. The record is from RNAcentral.